This 300-nucleotide unclassified non-coding RNA is filed under the name Helotiales sp. RNAcentral describes it as "partial contains small subunit ribosomal RNA and internal transcribed spacer 1". The record is from RNAcentral. Lineage: Eukaryota; Fungi; Ascomycota; Leotiomycetes; Helotiales.
AAGUCGUAACAAGGUUUUCAUGAAACACACCACACUGAAGCCUUGAUCCCAGUCUAUAUAGGCAACACCUUUAAUGUGCUUGGAUACCUAAAGGUAACAAGCAGCUGCUUACUGCAGUUCACAGAUCAAACAAAGGUGGUCCUUUGGUGCUACUAUAUGCUUAGUUGCAGUUAUAGGAUUUAGAUAUGACCGGCCUACUUUUGUAAAAACCAGUAGAAUUUGUGUUCCGUAGGUGAACCUGCGGAAGGAUCAUUACAGAGAACAUGCCCUUCAGGGUAUAUCUCCCACCCUUUGUUUAUA